RNAcentral lists this ribosomal RNA (400 nucleotides) under uncultured bacterium. Its description in RNAcentral is "bacterial SSU rRNA". It matches the Rfam family "Bacterial small subunit ribosomal RNA", at positions 356 to 773 of the family's 1533-position model. The record is from RNAcentral.
GGGGAAUAUUGGACAAUGGGCGCAAGCCUGAUCCAGCAAUGCCGCGUGGAUGAUGAAGGCCUUAGGGUUGUAAAGUCCUUUCGGCGGGGACGAUGAUGACGGUACCCGCAGAAGAAGCCCCGGCUAACUUUGUGCCAGCAGCCGCGGUAAUACGAAGGGGGCUAGCGUUGUUCGGAAUUACUGGGCGUAAAGGGCGCGUAGGCGGCUCUCCAAGUCAGAUGUGAAAGCCCCGGGCUUAACCUGGGAAUUGCAUUUGAGACUGGGGAGCUUGAGUUUCGGAGAGGUGGGUGGAAUUCCCAGUGUAGAGGUGAAAUUCGUAGAUAUUGGGAAGAACACCGGUGGCGAAGGCGGCCCACUGGACGAAUACUGACGCUGAGGCGCGAAAGCGUGGGGAGCAAAC